Molecule: transfer RNA, 73 nt
Filed under: Trichonephila inaurata madagascariensis
Lineage: Eukaryota; Metazoa; Arthropoda; Arachnida; Araneae; Nephilidae
Rfam family: tRNA
About the family: Transfer RNA (tRNA) molecules are approximately 80 nucleotides in length. Their secondary structure includes four short double-helical elements and three loops (D, anti-codon, and T loops). Further hydrogen bonds mediate the characteristic L-shaped molecular structure. tRNAs have two regions of fundamental functional importance: the anti-codon, which is responsible for specific mRNA codon recognition, and the 3' end, to which the tRNAs corresponding amino acid is attached (by aminoacyl-tRNA synthetases). tRNAs cope with the degeneracy of the genetic code in two manners: having more than one tRNA (with a specific anti-codon) for a particular amino acid; and 'wobble' base-pairing, i.e. permitting non-standard base-pairing at the 3rd anti-codon position.
Source: Rfam by way of RNAcentral
AUCCCUUUAGCGCAAUGACUAGUGCGUUGGACUUCUACUCCAAAGGUCGUGGGUUCGAAUCCCACCUGGAAUG